Lagopus leucura (white-tailed ptarmigan) is the source of this 16978-nucleotide long non-coding RNA. RefSeq lists it as uncharacterized. NCBI's taxonomy places the organism in Eukaryota, Metazoa, Chordata, Aves, Galliformes, Phasianidae. The record is from RefSeq and is a predicted model, not a curated record. The transcript has 4 exons.
ACCUCCCUCUCCUGCUGGCCGCCCCUUUUUCAUGCAGCCCAGAACACAGCUGGCCUUCCGGGCUGCAGGCUCAGUGUAGUUGCAGUAUUUGAUCAGUUCACAAUCAAAUCUAGCACCCAGGCUAGCUUUUGUUUUUGACUGAGCGUCUCUCAAAGCACAAAGAGCUGGAUCAGUUUUGAUUUCUGCCAUUUUCUUUAAAAUAUGUGCUUUACAGAUUUGGAGUUUAGCAUUUCUUCAACCUGGAGUUCUGAAUUGUCCAGUGGGGAGUAGGUGCUUAGUGCCAGAACAAGGUCACUUUACUGUUUAUCUACCUCUAUUUUCUUGCUAUUUCCAUUUGCUCUCGUCCAGGUGGUGGUUUCAGCCAAACAGUCAGACCUUCUGUUUCACCAAAUAUCUCUGUGUUGCAGCAUUUAAAACCAUUUCAGAGGUUUGCUUACAGCUCAUAGUGGAUUUUAAAUUCCAACAGCACUAUAAAUUGUAAUUUGUAGUUUAACCCCUAGAACUCUUGCCUGUUCUUCUGCAGUAAAAUCGCAGAUGAAUUCCACUGCCUUCCAUCACCUGUGACUAUGACACACGCCUUUUCUCAACCAUUUAUGCAUUUAUAUACAGCAGGGUGACUCCUAUGGCUAAAAAGGACUGCUCCUGUGCAGUUUAUUAUUGACAUUUUCAAUACUGCUAACACUACUGCUAUUCAAGUAAGAACUUUUCCAUUCCCUCUUUCAGCAGGACAAAAAUUAAGCCAAUGCUGGUAAUACUAAAAAAAAAAUCAUCCCACUCUUUGGUAAGACAGAAGAAGGGAUAAAAUUGAAAGAACUGCACAAUUUCACAGAUCAUGGGACCUGGCUUGUUUGUGUUUUUCUUGUGGAGAAGCACUGACUUGUUACUAAUAGGUUCAAGGCUGGCCAGGACCUGAGCUUUGGACAGAGUCACCCAAUCACCAUUCGACCUAUUUAGUGAUAAAAAGGACAAUUCUGGUUUAUAUAAAACACAGAAUAAAUUGCACUGACCUGUAGCCUCUACUGUUCACUGGAUGUGGAAGGAUUUUGACAGAUUAGUGUGUUUUCCUUUCAAUUAGAGUAGAAAGUAUUCCUGCAUUGGGAGUUCACGUUGCCAGUAUUUCUGGUAAUAAAAAAAAAAACGUUAUAUAUUCAAGCACUAGCAGGGAAGUAAUUUUUGAACGUUAGAAUUAAUUCCCAAAGUUGCUUAAUUCUCAGUACUCAGUUUUUUAGGUAACAGCAAAACAGGAGUGUGGAGGAUUUAUUGAAUUUAUACUCGUUUUUUUUCUUACUGAAGAAAGAGGUUUGUUUUAUUCAGACAUCAGUGUGAACUGGAGUGAUGGUGGCAGUUGCAUACUGCAGAUCAAAGAUCUGAGUCUCUUUCAUUUCUUACUUGGAAGAGCUUCCAUUUUCCGGAAGAAGCUGCUGCACUUCACACAGCUUUUGCAGUGAAGAUGCUGGGGCUGGAGGCAUUUGAGACUACUGUGAUCUGCACAGGGCAAGAUGGAUGGCAUGAGUAGAGAUGUCACUGCAAUUCAGCGUAAACUCUACUACCGUGCUUCCAGACUGCAGAUAGAAAGGAAUUUUAACAUAGGCAAAACAAGUGAGUCUUGCUUCCAUCCCCCUGCAUACAUUUCUCAAGGAACCUUUCAUUUUCUAAGCUUACAUUGAAUCCCAGUGUCACUGGGGUGAAGACUACAAGGAUUUAAGUAGUGACAGAAAACUGGGAGGCAAAGAAUUUGGUGUCAGGUCAGACUGAGAUUUUUAACAAUUAUUUUAGAACAGAGUGCAUUCAUCAAAAAUUUGUUAUUACUUUUAUGGGCAGCAGUGAUCAUGCUGCUUAAUGCUGCAUUAAAAUACAUUUAAACCUGCUAUCCAUGUGUUUUGCCACAAUCUAAUUGCUGUGUAGUCGAGAUAGCUAGAAGCUGUUGCUGUAGAGUCAACAAGUGUUUGCUUCGGGUUUAAAUACUUCUAGCCUGCAUGAGGGAACUGCAUGAUUCAGACUGCUGAGCUUGCUGUUGAUACAUCAGUGUGAAUACUUAUAAGAAGUGGAGGAACAACCCCUUUUUUACACUGAUGCAAAUCAUUCCCUUUUCAAGAAUCACACUGAGCUAGUGCUGCAACAAGGGAAGAGGAAUCAGGCUAAUUGACAACUUCUGUGGCUGAUUACAGAGCAUAAACCACAAAAAACAGAGCAAAUACCAACUUCAAAAAACACUGAUUGCCAGCUGGGGAGUAGUAUCAGCAGUAAUUGGAUUAUAAGUAGUAGUUGCACAACACUUAAAAUCAAACCACUGCCUCCUGUGGCUUAAUGAAAAUCAUUAGGUUAAUGUGAAAUCACACUUUUGAGUUGUAUUCUCUUAGCAGAUGUUAGGAAUUAACAUGUUAUUCCUGCAGUGGAGUUGGCAGAGAAGAGGCAUCUUCACUUCUCUGUUGUGUGUCUAUUUUCUUAAGCUUAGUUAAACUUUGCAGAUUAAGAUCUCAGGGAUCUCCAAAACAAGAAAAAAAAAAAGAAAGAAAAAAAAAAAAGACAGUAAACACUUGCAUAUGAGGCAGGCAUACACCCUGUGUUGCUAACUGCAGGAAGGCACCAAGGCUCACACCUAUUGAUUACUGGCCGUUCCACAUUCCUAAUGCUUUUUUCUUUGUAAAUUUGUAGUAGCCUUCUGGUUGCUAUGGCAAUUAAAUUACACCAAACAAAAUGAUUUGGUUGUUAUUUCCAGAUGCUAAGAAAGCAGUAUGCGGACCAAGUUGAGAAAUUGUGGCUGUUUUCAGAUGAGUGAGCUGCCAAGUCGCAUCUCUGUUGAAACUGAAGACAGCUUCGCUAUGAGCAGUAUUCUUGCACUUAGAAUAACUUCCUGAACAAAGUUCCAAGUAUAUAGAAAGCACGCACAAAGAACCUUUAAAUCUCUGCUUUCAGGAUUUCUGUUACAUCUGGUUAUAUUUUCCGACUGCCUUUAAUUUCAGCAUAAUCACUGGCUGGUCUAUACAUUGAUUUUGCUGUAGCCUGUCACCCUCACUGCUAUGAGGUGAGGAAGAAAUAGUAUUUUACCUGCUUUCUAAGCACACAGUUGAAACGUUCCCUGGUUUAAUUUCACUCACCUACAAGAUUGUCCCAGCAAGCAGGUGACAGAACUCUCCUUCCAUUAAUCAGAUCUCUUAUCAUUUAUCUGACAGAUUUUUUUUUAACACGCGUGCAAACACCCCUUAACUUCACUCAGAGAAAAUACCUUAAUCAGAUUGAGUUACCGUGACUUUCUCUUUUGUAAGUCUUGUAUUAUCUCUUACCCCCCUGCCUUUUUUUUUCCCCACAAAGUGGUUAUUGAAUCAACUGUAUCUUAAGGCUUUUGCGUGUAGAUUUUCCAUAGAAAUAAGCCUGCUUUUGCUGUCUCUUCUGUUAGAACAAGCUUGGUAUGUCCUUCAGGGUUCUACUCUCAGUCUGCUGGAGCAUGUGGUGGAAUCGAUCCUUUUUUAAGCUGCACACACACAUACACACAUAGCCAAACACACCCAAAACUCAGCAUAUGUAUGUAUACUGAAACAGUAAAUCCUCGAUGGGAGACAAAGCUGGAGGGAAGAAGGGAAGAAAACUACCUCAGGAAAGUGCAAAAUGAGGCACUGUCUCUCUUCAGCAGCCCCAGAGCAUGCUAUUUUUCAGUCCAUGAGUGACAAGGAAGGAGAUGUGUGUUUCAGAGAGAAGUGAGUUUUAAGAAAAUAAAAAGUCUGUGUGCACAGGGACUUUUCAGUAUAUAUCAUUUACUGUAAAUGAAAAAAAGAACAUUCAGCUUUAGCCUAGUUACAGUUACUGUAGUACAAAAUUCUAUUUCAGAAGCUUUUAAAUUGCUAGAAGAUGAGCUGCAAAGCAACUUUCCUCUGUCUUAUAAACUUUCCAGAGUGCAGACAGAAAAAGCUGGUUUCUGGUUUCAUUCUAACUGUACUGAUGCAUCACAGAAAAACAGCAGAAACACAUGUAAUGAAAGCGUAUACCUUUACUAGCAGUUAGGCUGUUGCUAUGUAAGAAUCCAAAAACAAAUAGUUCAAUUCCUGGGGUUUUACUUACAGGCCUGGGGAAGAUCUUCAGCAUAGCAGAUUUCCCUCUCCAGCACCUCUUGGCAAGGAGGUCCUCUGGUGUAAGACUGGCUCCUUAGAAGCACAUUCUUUGUUCCCCCUGAGGUUCGGCAUCAGCCUCACUCAGUUGUUUCAGCGGAUAGCAGAAGUCCACGCUGUGUUGCACCUUCCUGUAAAGUGACAUCAAGGAGUAGAAAGCUCAAGAAAGAUAUUAAGACCUGCAUUCAUUUUUCUGUUUCUUCGCAGACUUCACAGCAUGCUUUGCCCUUUCUCCACAUUCUCUUUCCACCAGCCAUUUCUAUUUUCUUUCCUCAGCUGACGCUCCAUUUGAAGCACUUGCUUCUCUCUUUUGCUCUGUUCUUAGGACAGACUUAAGCAAUUUCCAGGCUACUCUUCUCACAGCUAUCUGUACCACACAGUCCUGUUUGUGCCGGUCUGAUUACCACUGUUCCAUAGUUCUGCCAACAAAGCAGCUCUUCCAACUGCUUUCAAAUCACAGCUUGAAUGGUUUAAAGUAUUUUUUAGACUGAACUUACUGAUGUCUGAAACAGGAAAGCUAACUCUAGUGAGCUUUUCCAAAAGCAAAUUUCACAAUAGAAGCUGUCAGUCACCUCACUAGUAAUAAAUUGCAACUUCAGUUGGAAAACACUCAGCAAAGGCACUUCCAUCUGUAAUCUGCCUGCAUCCCCUUCCUUUUUACUUGCUGCACAUUCUUUUCAGGCUCUUGCUUCACUACCUUUGUCCUGAGGUCAGGCGGACCCUCUUUGGUAGUUGUCUGUUUUUCUCUCCUCCCUCUCCCUAUUUUUUCUUUUUAACUAAUUCAAAAUUCUAAGCGUCUUUCAAAGAGGUAAAGACAAAAAGCUUUUUAGGUACCAAGCAAAAUUCAUGCCUACUGAGUAACAAAGAUAGGUGAAAUUAAUAGCUUCAGUGACGCUAACUUGUUAAGAGAUACAGAUUACACAUCCUUUCAUUAAAACCUGGAUUACAGCAAAUAAAACUGAAUACUGUUCUUAUUUGCCUAGUCAGCUAUACAUAGAUCUCAUCAAAUCCCAAAUCACCCCCUCCAUCCACCAGCCAGUGCCAGAAUGAAGUAUUUAUCCUGACAUCCUGCAUAAUGGAAGAUGUAAACAUCACCCAACGAACGACUUCUGCACCAAACCAACAUCUUCACUUCAACCAGGCCAUAAAACACCAUCAUUAGAAAGGUCUCUGACAUUUGAAGAAUUCAAAAGGCACCCAUGAUUGGAUAAGGAGAGGAUCAGGCUGGGAGUGUCCUGCAACUCCUGCCACUCUGUCCUUCCUUCUUUUAAACCUAUGGCAAUAAAAAACCUCCCUGCAGCCACAAAGAUGGAGGAGGAGAGCCUGCAUGCCAGGCCACCUUCUGCUGUCCCUUCUUGCUCCCAAGAAUCCACAAAUUGGAUUAGAGAAACUGACUUAAGUAACUCUAUGUCAUGGCUGUGUAAUCCUUCUGUGAACCUAAAGAUACAGCUCUCACUUUUAGAGUAUAGUACCAAACUCAAUAUGCUUGUCUUGUAAAAAGUGAACAAAGUUGUCCAAUCUUUGCUAAGUAUUGAAGGGAAAUUGUGGAGCAUAAUAAAUCUGAGGUACAAAGAUCAUUAAACUAGAGACACUACAUGAAAAAAAGAAAAGGAUUUCAAGACAAAGUGAAUAAGGUGGAAGUCUGCACCUCUCCAUCACUUCUCCUAAUGUGAGAAAGUGCAAACAAUCCCUUUUUAUCUGAUUUAGAGGUCAGUACUCAGUUAUUUUGCCACUGUAUCUUUCUGGACGGGCCACUGUGAAUGAUGAGUGCAGGCAGAGAAGUGGGGCACAGUUCUAGAAACAGCUUUGAACCCUUCUCCUCCAUAUAGAAAUUUGUCUUGGCAAUGUUACUUUUAGUGUGAAGUUAACCAACACAGAAGCAUUGGAAUCAAAUUGUAACAAAGACACCUCUUGCUAAGCAUGAGCACUGCCUAAUGACUGAAGAGGAUCCAGUGUUUUGUUCCUCCCUCCUUCCAUUCCCUGAACCAAGAAAAACUUCCAGAGCAGGCUUCAAAUGCACACAUCCCAGGAGCAGAUGUACCAGCAGGGAGGGAGCUGUGCUUUCCAACUCAUUCCAACUGGAAAUGAUGCUCUGAGCACCUGUGCUAUGACUAGUCAUUAAAAUGUUCCAGAUUCUGAGUUAAGUCUGCAAUGCUACUUUCGUUUUCCUGUUUUCAGGUUUGCUGCAAAGAAUGCAAGUAGAUGCAAAAACACUAUUUUUAACAAUAGGAAAGAAAUCUUCUUAGGCUGUUGGACUGAAAGGCUUGGAAUGGUUGAGAAUCUCCAGUGAUUUCACAGAUAAUCCAUAUAUUUGUAUAGAUCAUUGGAUUUUGUCUUCUCUCUAAUGUAAAAUCUGCAAUGACAGCAGGAACAAUUUCACACCAAUACAACAGUCUACAUUUUAGUGCACAGUGCUGCAGAAAUGGAGGUCACAGUCUCCAAAGAGCCUGAGAGGGAUACUUGUGUUGUUGAAUUUCACUGCAAAUGGAAAAGAUUUAUGUCAUGAUCAGAAGUGUAGCUCUUUCCAGAGGCAGAUUCUCAAGCAAUUAUCACUGGUAAAGCAGUUUUUAGCUCUACUAGCCAUUAAUUUAAUUAGUCUUUUCUAAUUAUUUUUAUGACCAGUGCCUCAGGUGCAGCUGAUAGCUGCAUAAUCCAGCCAAGCUCCUGCUUCCUCUUCUCCUGGAGACAAACGUUCUUCUGCUAUUCUGAUUUAGGACUCAGACUGCAAAACAGUGACAGUUCCUAAACACAGCGUAGUGUCACAAGCUUUCUGUGCUGUGUUUUACAGAAAACAGUCCAUAGGUUGAGGUUUCAAGUCCUCAAGUUUGUUGGUGUUUUGCUUUGUUGGUUGGUGGGGUGUUUGUUUCCACAGGAAACUUAGUGCCAUGAUCUCUUUCUAGAGCAUAGAACUAUCAGUGUAAUAGUUAUUUUUUUUUAAUGUAUCUUACUUUCUAAGAGCUACCAAAAAAUAAAACUAAAAAAACAAACAAACAAACCAAGUUUAAAAACAGUAAUGCAUCAUUCGUAGUGCUUGAACUCCUGAAACACUGAAUUCAAUAUUCUAACAACAUAUAUUGUAUGACGUGGGCCUUUCACAAAACGCUGGGUACAUAACACAACCUUGUUGUUUUUUUUCUGACUGAUUUGAGAACAGUUAAUGUCAACCUGCAAGUUUUUCUUUCCCACUUGUAAAUGGUUUCACAACUGCUGUGCAGAGCAGCAGCAACUGUCAGCUUUUCCAGCGUGGUUUGAACCAUGCUCUUCACAGAAAUCCGGUUUCCUGGGUCUAACUGCUUGUAAAUAUGAUGCUGCUGGUGUCCAGAGGAAUAGCUGCUGUUGAUGGUUUCUCUCCUGCCCUCUGAAAUCCUCCAGCAGUGUCAUGCAAGCAAUGGCUCCACUGGAACUCGAGCAUAAUUCUCCCUUCAAAUGGUUGCUGAGCAGCAAAGCGCACGCUUCUACAUCCUCCAUGCUGGGUUUGCCUCGUUACACUGGUACAGGUUGCUCAUUUAUCCCCUUUGCAAAGAGCAGCAGCAGUUCUGCGUAUUGUUCUCACUCAAAAUACAGCUGGAAACAGACUCCCUCGGGUUGGGUCAGUGUCGGUGACGAUCUCAACUCCGUGUUGUUCUGCACACUCAGCUGACCUUCACCAUCACCUGCGGCCUCUUCUGUUGUUGCAAGAAUGUCUGAAAAUGUUUUAGCUUAUCAGUGUAACCAGUCCCUCUCUUACUGCGUUUUUCUUUUCAGUUCUGUAGAAAUAACAGAUGAUCGCACCUAAACCACCAACACUUGGGUGCUGGUUGCUCCUCUUCCAAGACAAAUCCAAAAGAAACACGCGUUCCAGGCAGCCAUGCCAGUUUCACCAAAAUCUUUUGGUGAAAAUUAAGCCUUCUUUGAAAUGCUGACAUUUUCUCAAACGUUUCUUUUUCAUUCAUAUUGUUUCAGAAAGAACAGCAAAUGUUUUUAAAUAAAUGUUGCUUUAAGAAAAAAAAAUAAUUGAAAAGAAUACUUGAUUUACCUACCGGCCUACUGACUGCAUACUGUGACACCGUAUGACUCUUUAGAAUUCUUUUCCUAUAAAUUCCAUAUUACACAAGAAUCCAUAUUUAAAUGAAUUGUGUGAAAGUUGAGAGGCUGCAAGGGGGCGAUGCUUGUGAUCUACAACAAAAGAAGGAAAAAAAUGAAGAGUCUGCCAUUAGAUCAGCUGAAAGAGAAAGCCACCUCUGGUUUGUCUUACGGUAUAAGCUGAAACAGAGUUGUGUUUAUGACAGAGCAGGUUCUGCAAUUUGGUGGGAUUUCUUUUGCCAUUGUGCCCAAAAGGCAAGGUUGUAAUUGCAAGUAUGGUGUGCAAAUAAAAAUUCUUACUGCUCUGUGCACGUCUUCUUUCGCUGUCCUGUGUAACUGUAUGUGCUCGUGGGGAAGUCAGAGCAGGAUCUGCAGGCUGUAACAAGAAGCAAUGUGUGGAGAAAAGCAUUCACAGCUCCUAACAAAGCCUGCCAGGCUUACAGUGAUACCUUCCUGGUGCGGAGCCACCAAACCAUCUGCAGAUAAGUUUUUAAUUAAUAUUUGCCACCCCCUUCUCCUAUCCAUCAUUAAUAGCUUUCUGUUCACUUCCCAUGCCUGCUGUACUCCUUAGCCUGAUUUUUCCCCCAGUGAUGAACACUUGUCACCAGUAAAUAAACACAUUUUUACAACUGCUGUUCUUCAGUAGCACGACGGAUGGCAGGGAGGUGUGCACAGUCCCACAGCACGCUGCAGCUCACUGUAACAGCUUGCUUUAUGGAGACUUCACAAGGCAUGAACAGGCUGAGCAGCGGUGCAGGGCAGCAGAGGUGGCAGCCCCACCUCCCUGCAGCGCUGGCCCUGCAAGCAGCCCACCUCCAUCAGCACAGGGGCAACCAAGGAACAGCAAACACUGAGGGAGAUGAGAAAAUUAUCUUUUUCUCCAGCAGGAAAAAUAGGAGAUGAUAUAUGGCGACAUCAGUAAUACUGGAUUUUCAGUUGUUACACAACAAUAUUUGUUUUUUACAUUAUUAUCUAUUAUUAUUGCAUGGGAAUAGUAAUGUUACUGGACAAGAACCUCCUCCAAAAAUUCAGAGCUUCCUCUGGCUCCCCAAGGAAGAGGACCUCCGUGUUAUCUCACCUGAGUGCAGAGAAAGGCAUUGGAGUUUCACAAACUGGAACAUCCCUUUGCUCAUCCUUGUGCAAAGUGUUGUAACCCAGGUAGAACCAUGGGACAACCCAAAUCCACUCUUUAUUGGCUGUGGACGCUCUGUGUGACCUCAGACAAGUCCCGUAGCCCAGAUUCCCAAACAAGUAACUCCUGUAGCUGCCACCACCCCAAGGACACUGGGAAGGGUCAUGCUGUGCUGCUGAGAGGCAGCCCUCCAGCCCUCCAGGAGCCCCUACGGGUAGGGGAACCGCCGCGCUCAGUUUGUACCAGUUUCUCAUUUAGUGAUUUUCUCACCCAGAAAUACCAGAUUUGCCUCCGCUCCCUAGGAGGAGGAUUUCUACAGUAAGUCAGGGCUCAGACUGGCUGGCAAGCAGGGGAGAAAAAAGGUAUAUGAGAGAGAUUCUUGUUGGAUGUGCUUCGUCUUGUAGAGACUAAAGUGGGUCACUGUAAAAAAAAAAGGAAUAGAAAAGAUGGUCUUGGUAUUUUCAGGGAACUUCUGGCCUUAAACGUGUGGAUGAAUGCACUUCUCUUGCAUUUCACUGCAAGACGCUCUGAGGUUCCAGCAUUAAGCACGUUCCCUGCUUUGCUCUGGCAGAUGUUGCCCUGCACAGAACCUCCUCCUCCUGGCUCCACAGGGCUCCCAGAAGGAAUACAGCUCCAAGGCAAGAGUUUGCCAUGCAGCUCUAAGAUCCCUUCAUACGCUUUCUUCUCCAUAAUCUGCUGCAUGAAACAAUUUGAAACAGGAACAAGGGGGAAAAAAUAUUUUCCCUGUCAUUAUUUCUAGAGCACCAACACAGCUACUGGAUUACCUGGGAGAACAGAAGAGAAAGACUUUGGAGAAGAGAUGCACUGCAGCAGGAAACUUUGCCAUGGGGCUGGACCAUUCUGAUGGCUUGACUUAUAGUGAUUUAUUGACAGGAAGGGUGUUUUUUUUUUUUGGCUUAGGCCUUAUUAUUCUUAAUUUAGAGGAGAAGCCCAGAGGACAGGCUAUUCCUAUCUCCAGAAACAAAACUUAUCAGUGUAAGGAGCAUCUCCCUGCCACCACUCUAUGGAGAGGAGAAAGCCAGCAACCAUUACAAACUUCAGCACAAGCCAUUAAAUUCAGCUGUGAGGGAUAGGAUGAGGGAGAGCUUCCAUGCAUUGCAUUGUGCCCACCCUGGCAGGGCUGCAAGCGCAGGGAGCUGGGAAGCCCAGCAUGCAUGGCGGGGGACAGCAAGGGAAUUCUCAUGGGGAAGCUGACACCCCAAACCUCCACAAAGGAUAAUAAAGCUGGAGAAAAACAAAGAGAAGCAACAGCAGCCCUUUUACGUCUCUUCCACACCGUAUUUCCUGGUGUUGAAGAAGUUUUUGCACAUCCUCUUUGAAAGAGGCCGUGUGAGAGACCCAUUCAUAUCAUGAGGAUUCCCCACAGCAGCAGCACCUCCCAAGUCCCCCGGAGGAACUGUUUCUGCAGAAUUGAAACUGAGCUGUGAGAAGUGAUUGGAGUAUGGCCUAUUAGCAAGUGCUGUUAUACCUGAAGGAAGUGAAACAUUGCAGUAGAACUCAAAUUUCUUUCCAAGUUGAAUUACACUGAUGGCAAGCUCCCUCCACAGGCAAUAAAAAAAGAGGCUGAACUAAGCAGACACAACAUGCAGGGGGCUCAAAGGAGAGCCCCUCAGCAACGUGGAGGUAAUUGCAGUCAGCUGGGAAAAGGAAGCAGCUCUUGUUUGUCAAACCAAAUUCUUUCUCUGCUUGUUUGCUGCGGCUGCCAGGAGCUCCGACGUCCCCAUGCAACAGGGAGCUGGUGGAUGUCAUGGAUGUAUUCCCUUCUGCCGGAUGCCUUACAAAUAGGAGCAGCCGAAUCUUGUUCCAUCUCAUUUAAUAGCACGGGCUGCAAGGUGGAAUACUUUUUCUCCUGUUCUUUGCCACUGACUUCACACACGCGGUCCUUGACGCAGGCUGUGGCACUGCAGCCAUUUCUGCCCCUCCUCUCUCACUUGCUGCAGCUUUUAGAAGGUUGACUCACACAGAUCCAGCUGGGAUGAUUCCCGUUGCCCUUUGCACAGCACCCAUCUGAUCUGCUGUGUGCAGGUCACCACUUGCAUAACGUGGAACGAGCUGCCUGCCUGAAGAACAGCCCAGGCUUUUCUUAGAGCUGCUGCCAAUAUAUUUACUAUCAGAAAGGAAGAUCCUUUUGGCUGCUGCUAGACAUUCUGUCAGCUUAACGUCAGUAUGACCAGCACUGACCUGUGACUUCCCCUUCAUCCUCUGCACGGGGUGUUUAUCAACAAGCUGCUGGUGUAAAGGCAGCAACCUCCUGCUCAGCCUGCGGCUAACGAUGCGGAAGGUACAGCAGGUGACUUGGCUUUGGAUGAAAACACAGCAUGUGUGGGAAAAGGCAUCUUUUUCACUAUAUUAACUGACACAGCAGGAAAACAAAGCAGCGAGGCCUAAGGCACUCAUAGCACAACCGCUGGGGCCACGCUCUAUCUGCCUUGCUGCCCCCGCAGCAACACUGCAUCACCAGAUCCUGAAAAUACCCGACCCCUUGUUUCUGAAUCCCACCCUUCAGCAUGCUCACCAGCCUCUUUAUGGAGCUGGAGAGGGGGAGAACAGCAACCGUGUUUCUGCUUGGCCAGCAGAGAAUGCCCUAAAAACACUCAGGUAGGAGAUUGUUGCAGUUGCAGCAGCCUCCCACUCACCCUUUGAAUUGCACCCCAGCAUGCAGCCGUGCCUGCAGCACCAUUGCCAAACCACGCACUGCCCAGGAGCCCGGCUCCAGCACUGAGCAUCUGCAGUUCUCCUCCAAAAGGCAGCGGAGAAGGAAAUAUUUGUUUGAAGAACUAACAACAUUUUCACGUACUGAAAAAUCACGUUCCCAUGGAUCUUGAGAAAGUAAUUAAUCCAAAGCUCUCUUAAAAUUCCCUUCGAUAACCAAAGAGGAAAAACAAUGAGAGACUUCAAGUUUUCAUGUAUUUUAUUUACAAGCCACACGAUACAUUUAUAUACAAAUGGCUUAAAAUAACGAAGGGUAAGCAAGCUGAAGCAUAACAGUUUGAUUAUUUUAAAUUACGUUCUCUUGAAAUAACUCCUGCAAUAAAGUAUUCUUCACCCUGAUAAGCAAAAGUUAGUUCGACUUUAACCCAAGGUCAUUUCAUUUUUUAAAUACAGAAUUCAUAUCACUUUUCUGUGAUCCUUUAUCUUCUUAACACUCAUGUAUGAAGAACAUCCCACAGCCAUCAAGAAGGGAAACAGCCAAAUUUCCUCCUGUACAAAUGCUGUAACAACAGACUGGAGAAAUGUAAAAUGCUUGUGUGUUUCAUUAACUAAGAGAAUGCAAGAAAUACAUGAGAUUUCCUCUCUUGGAAACAGGAUUCAUGGUCUGAGAUCCAAUUUGCGCGCGGACGAGAGCUGUGUUCCCACUGUCAGAGACCAAACAGAUCCCAGUGCAACUGCGCCACACCAGAACCUGCCUGCAGCAGGGACCAGCAGAAGGGCAGAGCUCCAAACCCCGCAGAGCUCAACACUGCAGCACUCGGCACCUCUGCUGUCACACUGCCGCAGCAAGAAGAAAAUUCAACACAGACUCGUUUUGUGGAAACAUAAGAAAAUACAGAAAUUUGCCAUUUAAUUUCCGCCCCCCCACCCCCAGGGAAUUCUAUUAACAUUUAAAGACAUGUAUUUUUACACCCCUUCCCAAACACCGCUCCGUUUCAGGUCACAGCUAGCAAUCCAUGACACAAGUCAGUUCCUUUUCCUUCGGCUGAUUGUAAGUGUUCUAAUACUCUAAGUGCCUUAAGUCACAUCCAGCAGUCUGGUCGUGCUCACGUUUCUCCUCUUGGUGUGGCUAAUGACUGCCCAGUAUAAAUAAUAACGCUUGCUAUUCCAUGGUCCAUGGUUACAGUACUUUGCUAUGUUUUAGAAACACAAACACACAACACUUACUUUUUGAUGUGGUGUCCAGGUCUCUGUAGCACACUUUGGAAUUGCAGCACAGAAAAAGUAAACCCAAAGGAAGGUGGGAAGUAACCAAAGCCAUGGCUCCGCAGAAAAUCACACGGCUUUCAGAAUGCCUGCGACUGCAGCAGAAAUGCAAUGGCCACGCGAAGCCAAAUGUUGCACUAGCACUGACUCGCUCUGCUAAGUGAAGUUUGUUCAAAAGGGUCAAAUUCUCAACUGAUGUGAGCACCUCUUAAUACGGUACAGAAAAGAAAUGUUGAUAAAUCACAUGCGGGGCCAGCACAACCCAAGGUGGGCAGCCCUCGGGCCUGGAUAACUCCUAGACCAGGCCCAGACCAGGGGGAGCCAGGCAGAUCCCCGGGCUGCAGAGAAGGCAGCAGCCUCCUUGCUCAGCCAUCAUCCCAUGCUGACUGUCCCCCUGUGCUACACCAGCACCGCUGUCCCAAGCUAACAGUCUUCAGUCACAGGCUGCUAAUCCUUACACUGAAUUUGGGAAACAUGCAUCUGCAACAGUGUGGAAGUUUUGGUUUAGAUCCACGCAGAAGCCGGCUGUCUACUCCAUCUCCUUUGUAUCCAUCACAGCCACAGCAACUUGCGUCGGCUCCGCUAUUACAUCUGAAGACCAAAAUCCAUCUCAGCACAACAGCGCAGCAGCAGAGCAAUGCCAGCCAGCAGUGGUGCUGCUCCGCCUGCCUUCACUUGCAGUACUGAAAGUCAAACCACUUAGUCCUCCUUGAAACCUACCUUCCAUUUGAACUUGCCUGCUUUUUUUUUUUUUCUUUCCAAUUUACAUUGGAAGUGCAGUAGAGUAACACGGGGCUGCACGUUUUUAGUGAAAACAAUGGCCUAAGAGCUGUAAAAGUCUUGCUUAACUCAAAAAAAACCAACAACAAACAACUGUCUGAACCUCUUGGGGUUUUUUUUCUAUCAAUUAGUAAACAAAUAAGCCUCAGCUGAUGCUGUCCGUACCUAAAUGAGAAUAAUGAUUUCAGCCUUUAAAAUUCAACCAGCAGAAAAAUGUUACUGAGGUCCUUACUCAAGGAACCCAACCUGCCUCGCACUCCGGCAAGCUGUGACUUCCCUAAAGCACGCGGCCACGAGCGUUUGCUCCUGACUGCCUGGGCUGAUUUUGCUUUCAGAGGGCAGGACUCCCUUCUGUGCCUGGCGAAGGCAGCUGCCAGACUUACAGGGACACCUCCAUCUCCCACCUGCCAGAUCCUCAAUCCACACAGUCAGCACAGUGACUUUCUCCAUGCCCUGCAACGCGGCACUUGGCCAUCAACAAGAACCGAGGUUUUGAAAUUAAAACAAAACAUCGACACCUUUGGCUUCUAUUCUGAAAGUCCAAAAAGUCACUGACAAGACUACAUUUGAAAUAGUAACAGCAGGUCAAAAGACCUGUCGGCUAUUUAGUCAACAACAGCUUGGAUCAAUCAAGAAACUAUAAGAACUAUCCUACAGUACUUGCAAUCAGCAAUGAGCAGCUGUUUCUUCCAAGAGAGGAGCCUUAUUCUUUCUUGAGAAGAGUCAUCAUUUUCAUUUCACUGCAACAAAUGUUGGUGUCCAUUUUUAAAAGGAUACCAAAGGACAAUUUGUUUGCUUUUAAUUUUCUUACAUCAGUUUCUAGAAUAGAUGCACUACCAAGGCCCUGAAGAGAACAUUUUCUUCUCAUUCCCUAACUUCAAAAUGCAUUAGCAACAAGGUUCUGAGAUUUUAAUGAACAACUUAAUAUUUAAUACUGCUGUUUAGUAAAGUUCAGAUGAUGGAAAGAGACUCAGUCUUAUGCAUCCUUUACUACCUUCUAUAUGUUACAGGUUAAAGAAUAUUACUAAUGGAAAUGACUUACUCUGGGGGAGGCAUUUUAGAUGGUUCCACAUCUCGCAGAAACUCGCACUGAAGAGCUUGUUCAGCUGUACAGCGCUUGCUGGGAUCCAGAGCAAGCAUGUAAUCAAACAAAUCUAAUGCAGCUGGUGGGAUGCUGCAAAAGAACACAGUGGAAAAAAGCAUCACCUGUUUUCUGAAUCACAUACUUCAGUGCAAAGUUUUCAUAAGAACAACUCUCCAGAAUAACUGAACAUCUAAAAUGAAGAAUUUACUUUUAAGAAGCAGAUAACAAAGUUCAUCUUUAUCAAUCUCUGAAGAGGAUGUCUGCUCACUUACGAGGUCACCUAUGAUAUCAGAAUCAAGAGCAACUUCUGCUUGCAAAAUAAAGAGGAAAACAAGAUGCACUGGUUCCAUGGAGUUAUAUACAUGCCAUCCUAAAAUUUACUGAGAUAAUGUAGUAAACAAAAUAUUCACCUCCAUAAAGUAUCUGGCAGUUUGUAAGGGAAGAGAAAUAUAUGAAAAAAUGAAAGCCCAGGUGCACACGUGGGAAAACUCAAUGCAAGAUCUUAAGGCAAGCAGCAUACAAAGCACCUACUGCUCCUAAACCUGCUGUCCUUACUGACCAUGUUUCCUUUGAUUUGCUGUAAAGAAUUUGUGAUGCCAUCUUGAAAAGGAAUUACAUUCUUUUACAACUUCAGUAAUAGGAAAAGCUCCAGCUGCAUUUUGAAACACUUCCCCACAUUCACACAUAAGACACUUCUUCUACAUGCCCCUGAAGACCACUAAUAUCUCACUCAGGAUGAUAAUGAAGUACUUGUAAAUGUCAGCAGUGUGUUACCUUUGUUUUUAAUGUGAAAAAGAUUGGCAGUUUACCAGGUACCUACCACACUGUAGUGCCUGCUAGUUACCUUAUAAGUUCCAGCUGAGCAAGUUCUUGAUUUGCUUGAAAUAUUGGCUUUUUUGUAAAAAGUUCACCCAGGAUGCAGCUGUAAAACAGUUUCAUACAAUUUCAUCAUUAUGGCUUCCAGUACAGACUGACAGAAAUAUGCACUGCUGGCUUGUUGUUGUGCUUGCUACACUUCUGUACCAAACUCUUACCCACAGCUCCAGACAUCGAUAGCUGGCGUGUAUCUUUCUUCUCCAAGCAGAAGUUCAGGAGGCCGAUACCAUAAUGUAAUAACUUUGUUGGUAUAUGGUCGGCUGUUGGAGGGAGCAAAAAAAAAGAGGACUAUCAUUUUGCUACAAUCUCAUUUCUGAAAAAAGUGAUAUUUUGAGGGGUAUAAUUCUAUGGUGUUAUUUAAGGACAGCGUUGCCUUCCUUCUUUUCAGUUCUACAAAGUUACAACUGCAAAAAAGCAACACAUCCAUCUGACCAAGGCUAUCAAAGAACAGCCUGAAACGAGACCUCAGAGAUACACAAGUAAUCAGCAAGCCAUCUUGAUGCUAUGUGCAUCCUGUAUUUCAAAUAAUUAAACAGUUCACUUAUCACACUGCUAGCCAUUUCAGGAAAAAGAUCUGCUUUGAUAAAAAAGUGAUUUCUCGAUAACUGUUAAUUAGUAGAAUACUGAAGACAGGAUUUCUACAAACAUUUUUAAAAGGGGAAAAACAGUCACUCUCUGGAAAGAAAGAAACAAAGCCUUUCUCUCAAACUAUGUCCUUCAACAACUUUGCAUUCUAAGUCUGGACCAUUUCUAACAUAUUCCUUUAUUUCAACAUUUUUAAUUCUUUACAGUUCUAACCAGAAGUUCUGGUCAUAGUGAAUAAUCCUUUCCAUCCUCACACUAACAUAAGGAUUCCACUACCUCAGACAUGCAUUUUCUGUGCACUGGCCAACACAGAGCAUCAACAGUUCAGAACAGGAGUCAUAGCAGAUGGUAGGGAUGGGCUGUUUUCCACUUAGUUUUUGCUUUGUGUUUAAAGAGGGGGGAUGGGCCGGGACAACA